UACGAAGGGUGCUAGCGUUGUUCGGAAUUACUGGGCGUAAAGCGCGCGUAGGCGGCGACUCAAGUCAGGGGUGAAAUCCUUGGGCUCAACCCAAGAAUUGCCUUUGAAACUGUGUUGCUAGAGUGUCGGAGGGGAUAGCGGAAUUGCUAAUGUAGAGGUGAAAUUCGUAGAUAUUAGCAGGAACACCGGUGGCGAAGGCGGCUAUCUGGACGACAACUGACGCUGAGGCGCGAAAGCGUGGGGAGCAAACAGG
RNAcentral lists this ribosomal RNA (253 nucleotides) under uncultured bacterium. Its description in RNAcentral is "partial 16S ribosomal RNA". It matches the Rfam family "Bacterial small subunit ribosomal RNA", at positions 524 to 776 of the family's 1533-position model. The record is from RNAcentral.